CUACGGGGCGCAGCAGUGGGGAAUAUUGGACAAUGGGGGAAACCCUGAUCCAGCAAUGCCGCGUGUGUGAAGAAGGCCUGCGGAUUGUAAAGCACUUUCGGUUGGGAGGACUGCUUCUAGCACUAAUAUUGUUGGAAGUUGACGUUACCUUCAGAAGAAGCACCGGCUAACUCCGUGCCAGCAGCCGCGGUAAUACGGGGGGUGCAAGCGUUAAUCGGAAUUACUGGGCGUAAAGCGCGCGUAGGCGGCUAGAUCAGUCGGGUGUGAAAGCCCCGGGCUUAACCUGGGAACUGCAUCCGAUACUGUCUAGCUUGAGUACAGGAGAGGAGAGUGGAAUUCCACAUGUAGCGGUGAAAUGCGUAGAUAUGUGGAGGAACACCAAUGGCGAAGGCAGCUCUCUGGCCUGAUACUGACGCUGAGGUGCGAAAGCGUGGGGAGCAAACAGGAUUAGAUACCCCUGUAGUC
Molecule: ribosomal RNA, 465 nt
Filed under: uncultured bacterium
Lineage: Bacteria
Description: partial 16S ribosomal RNA
Rfam family: Bacterial small subunit ribosomal RNA
Source: RNAcentral